GCUGGCGGCGUGCUUAACACAUGCAAGUCGAGCGGAAAGGCCCUUCGGGGUACUCGAGCGGCGAACGGGUGAGUAACACGUGAGUAAUCUGCCCCUAGCUCUGGGAUAGCUCCGGGAAACCGGGAUUAAUACCGGAUAUGACCACUACGGACAUCUGUUUUGGUGGAAAGAAUUUCGGCUAGGGAUGAGCUCGCGGCCUAUCAGCUUGUUGGUGGGGUAACGGCCUACCAAGGCGACGACGGGUAGCCGGCCUGAGAGGGCGACCGGCCACACUGGGACUGAGACACGGCCCAGACUCCUACGGGAGGCAGCAGUGGGGAAUAUUGCGCAAUGGGCGAAAGCCUGACGCAGCGACGCCGCGUGGGGGAUGAAGGCCUUCGGGUUGUAAACCCCUUUCAGCAGGGACGAAGCGAGAGUGACGGUACCUGCAGAAGAAGCGCCGGCUAACUACGUGCCAGCAGCCGCGGUAACACGUAGGGCGCAAGCGUUGUCCGGAAUUAUUGGGCGUAAAGAGCUCGUAGGCGGUCUGUUGCGUCCGCUGUGAAAACUCGGGGCUUAACCCCGAGCCUGCAGUGGAU
RNAcentral lists this ribosomal RNA (578 nucleotides) under uncultured soil bacterium. RNAcentral describes it as "bacterial SSU rRNA". It matches the Rfam family "Bacterial small subunit ribosomal RNA", at positions 35 to 631 of the family's 1533-position model. The record is from RNAcentral.